RNAcentral lists this ribosomal RNA (248 nucleotides) under uncultured bacterium. Its description in RNAcentral is "partial 16S ribosomal RNA". It matches the Rfam family "Bacterial small subunit ribosomal RNA", at positions 523 to 769 of the family's 1533-position model. The record is from RNAcentral.
AUACGGAGGGUGCAAGCGUUAUCCGGAUUUAUUGGGUUUAAAGGGUGCGUAGGCGGUUUGAUAAGUCAGCGGUGAAAUAUUUCAGCUUAACUGGAAAGGGUGCCGUUGAUACUGUCGAGCUUGAAUUUAGUUGCUGUGGGUGGAAUGUGUGGUGUAGCGGUGAAAUGCAUAGAUAUCACACAGAAUAUCGAUUGCGAAGGCAGCUCACAAAGCUAAUAUUGACGCUGAUGCACGAAAGUGUGGGGAUC